This 203-nucleotide long non-coding RNA is filed under the name Elaeis guineensis (African oil palm). Its description in RNAcentral is "long non-coding RNA (EGUI_LNC035788)". Lineage: Eukaryota; Viridiplantae; Streptophyta; Magnoliopsida; Arecales; Arecaceae. The record is from RNAcentral.
GACGACAGCUUCCAUGUUAACAAUGUGACAUUCAGUUUUCACUGCUGAAUGCGUAAACGUAUUGUUUCAAUGCUCCCAAUACAUGUGGAACUACCAGCCAUGUUCGGAUAGGAUGCAAUGAACCAAGUGUCCCUUAUAGGGUUGCCCCAGAAAUCAGAACAACUAGAAACUCCAAAAUCAGUAGAAUGCAAUGAAUGCCAUCA